AAUCACGUACGAAGCCUAAAGCACAACCUUGGGCCCUACUUAUGAAACACCAUUUAAAAAGCCUCUACAGAUUUCAGCUUAUCUUGAAUGUGUGAAGGUCCACCUUCUUGACAGAGUGAGCCACACUUCAGUCUGUGAAGAAGGGAAAAGAGGACGUUCAAUAUAAAUCUGAACUGUGCAAUUCUCUCUCAAGGUACAUGUUGUAAAGAAGGGAGGGAAUUAAUUCUCCUGCUGCUUCUGCCACAAGUGGGAUUUAAGUGCCACAGCUUUAAAACCCACUGGCUGAUGCUUCAAGUAACUGUGACUGUCAUUUCCACCCUGCAUGUGGCCUUGAGACUUUCUGCUCAGUUUUCAAGCAUGCCAUAAUACUGAGGUCUGAGAUGAUUUUGGAAUACCAGGAUCUCCAACCUCUCUUCCAUGGCUCCAGGCUGUGAAAUCAGUUUCAGUCUCUCUGUCUCACCCUACUGUGAAGUCAUGGAACUUUUAACCAGUUGUGUAGUUAAACAGCCCCUUCUCACUGUGCCACGAAAGCACAUCUCGCUCAACAUGCCCCCAGCUUCUGUACUGGAGGCACAGCAAGAACUGGAGGAACCCCCUCUGCCAGCAGCCACCCACCUCUUCCAGGGCUUUCCACCUGAGCAGACAGUUCUUGGUGUUGUCCCUGCUCUGGCUGAGAGGAGAGGUGAACAGUGAACAUCAAGGUUCAGUGUCACAAAGCAUCUGGCAAAGUCAGUGAACCUGGGCUUGAUACCAUGCUUUGUCUUCUGGCUCAGCUGAAAUGCUGACACAGAAAUUUCAGUAAAACAUGUUAAGUAGGCACCCAGAACCUGCUACAGACGAGAUCA
Molecule: non-coding RNA, 845 nt
Organism: Cyanistes caeruleus (blue tit)
Lineage: Eukaryota; Metazoa; Chordata; Aves; Passeriformes; Paridae
Source: RefSeq, a predicted model, not a curated record